Bos indicus x Bos taurus (hybrid cattle) is the source of this 82-nucleotide small nuclear RNA. Its record names the gene U4. It matches the Rfam family "U4 spliceosomal RNA". From Rfam's summary of the family: U4 small nuclear RNA (U4 snRNA) is a component of the major U2-dependent spliceosome. The structure of U4 snRNA from yeast and human has been reported. U4 snRNA presents a k-turn RNA motif in the 5p-SL related to recognition of Snu13 protein. The record is from Ensembl. NCBI's taxonomy places the organism in Eukaryota, Metazoa, Chordata, Mammalia, Artiodactyla, Bovidae.
AGUUUUGUGGAGUGGCAGUCUCAUAGCCAGUGGGGUCUCUCUGAGGCAGGAUCAUUGCUAAUUGAAAACUUUUCCAACAGAA